Molecule: ribosomal RNA, 1196 nt
Filed under: uncultured organism
Description: bacterial SSU rRNA
Rfam family: Bacterial small subunit ribosomal RNA
Source: RNAcentral
GGGAUUAAUACCCCAUACGAUUCAUUUGUGGCCUCACAAAUGGAUAAAAGCUACGGCGGUUUCAGAUGGUCAUGCGUACCAUUAGUUAGUUGGUGAGGUAAAGGCUCACCAAGGCGAUGAUGGUUAGGGGUCCUGAGAGGGUAGUCCCCCACACUGGUACUGAGACACGGACCAGACUCCUACGGGAGGCAGCAGUGAGGAAUAUUGGUCAAUGGGCGCUAGCCUGAACCAGCCAUGCCGCGUGCAGGAAGACGGCCCUACGGGUUGUAAACUGCUUUUCUGCAGGAAGAAUAUAUAGUCUUAGGGCUAUAUUGACGGUACUGCAGGAAUAAGCAUCGGCUAACUCCGUGCCAGCAGCCGCGGUAAUACGGAGGAUGCAAGCGUUAUCCGGAUUCAUUGGGUUUAAAGGGUGCGCAGGCUGUAAAGCAAGUCAGUGGUGAAAGCCCUGGGCUUAACUCAGGGAUUGCCAUUGAAACUGUUUUACUAGAGUGUAGUAGAGGACGGCGGAAUGAGUUGUGUAGCGGUGAAAUGCAUAGAUAUAACUCAGAACACCUAUUGCGUAGGCAGCUGUCUAUACUACAACUGACGCUGAGGCACGAAAGCGUGGGGAGCGAACAGGAUUAGAUACCCUGGUAGUCCACGCUGUAAACGAUGAUCACUCGUUGUUGGCUACUUAGUAGUCAGUGACCAAGGGAAACCGAUAAGUGAUCCACCUGGGGAGUACGUCGGCAACGAUGAAACUCAAAGGAAUUGACGGGGGCCCGCACAAGCGGAGGAACAUGUGGUUUAAUUCGAUGAUACGCGAGGAACCUUACCUGGGCUUAAAUGCUGGCUGCAUUGGAGGGAAACCUUCAUUUCCUACGGGACCGCCAGCAAGGUGCUGCAUGGUUGUCGUCAGCUCGUGCCGUGAGGUGUCGGGUUAAGUCCCAUAACGAGCGCAACCCCUAUCGCUAGUUGCCAGCAUGUAAUGGUGGGGACUCUAGCGAGACUGCCGGUGUAAACCGGAGGAAGGUGGGGAUGACGUCAAAUCAGCACGGCCCUUACGUCCAGGGCUACACACGUGUUACAAUGGCCGGUACAAAGAGCAGCCACCUGGCGACAGGGCGCUAAUCUCUAAAACCGGUCUCAGUUCGGAUCGAAGUCUGCAAUUCGACUUCGUGAAGGUGGAUUCGCUAGUAAUCGCGCAUCAGCCAUGG